Long non-coding RNA from Hemicordylus capensis (graceful crag lizard), 906 nucleotides. RefSeq lists it as uncharacterized. The transcript has 3 exons. NCBI's taxonomy places the organism in Eukaryota, Metazoa, Chordata, Lepidosauria, Squamata, Cordylidae. The record is from RefSeq and is a predicted model, not a curated record.
GGAAAUGUAUUGCAAAUAUACUCCCUGAAGCAACCAGGAAGUGCAUUUUUAAUGUAUUAUUUUAGUCCUUCCUGCGGGGCAGUGCCUGGAGGAGCUCCCUAGGAAUCAGAAUGGCUGGAGCAGCUUGAGUAGCAGCUAUUCCAGCCAGUAAGACCAAAACAAGAAAUUACAGGCAGGUGGGGCAGAGUUGGAAGAAGCUCCCUGCUCUGAAGUUUUCCCUGGCUGCUGCAGAGGAAGAAACUGGAAGAGAAGACAAGUACUGGGGAUUCUCUAGCUAGAGCUAGAGAAUGACUUCACUGACUUCCUCUUCUGGGAGGAGGAGGAGAUGGCGGGAAGCUGGCCAGCUGCUGCUGUGGCAGAGAGGGGAAAGGUGAUGUGCACCCCAAAAGGGGCAGCAGCAGGCCCCCUGCUGACAACGGGCCCAGCAGCCCAUAUCCAUCAUACUUCUAGGAGUUUGGAAACCAUGGGACUAAGGUUUCAUCGUUUAUCCUCACCACCACCCACAAGCAUGCUGUGAGAUAAAUGGUCCAUCUUGUUGCUCUUCUCCAGAGAGAAACUCCACAACACAUUUUCAUUAUUUAUGAGAAAUGUCCUAGACAAGAGCCUUGCAAAUGUAUCCUUUCUUCCCGCUUUUGCUGAUUUUCUACUAGUCUGUUGCUUAGAAAUCAGAGAGAGGUUAAACCUUGAAACACAGAGAGAGCCUGUCAGUCACAGCUUGAGCUGCUGCUUUUCUCCCUUUACAUACUGUAUACUAUAGCAGGAGGAAAUUCAACAGGUGGAGUUUUCCCCAUCAUUGCAUCCCUGCUUUAGACACUUUAUUGCAGAAAAUAACAAUUAAAAUUUGCCUGUGAAUAAUAAUGCUAAUAUUUCUCAAUAAAGAUCUGUCUGUGAAUGUAUCAGAUCUAA